Molecule: long non-coding RNA, 593 nt
Filed under: Neodiprion pinetum (white pine sawfly)
Lineage: Eukaryota; Metazoa; Arthropoda; Insecta; Hymenoptera; Diprionidae
Description: uncharacterized LOC124223191
Source: RNAcentral
ACGAAAUUUUUUAACUCACAUUCCGCGUGUCGUUGAUUGAAAUUCGAAAAGACCAAAUUACUGUGAUUAUAUAAACGGCGAAGUUUCCGCAAUUUUCUCUUUCGUUAUCGGGAUAGAAAAAAAAUGAGUAAGAGACAGCUGUGUGCAUUUACUCGAGUGAACGAAAGUACUCUAUUCGAAAUUUCCGGUCUACAUAUUCCACCGACCUUUAUAAAGAGAGAUAAGAGCAUAUACAUCGUGAUAUGCAGUUAUUUUUCACGAACGAAAUGAGCGAAAAAGAAGUGGAUUUUUGAUACCGAAUACUCGUGAAAAAGAUUCCAGUUCGUCGAUCGGGCGAAAGUGACACAUGAUGUGAAAAACGGUGGGAUUUUGCACGAGUAUAAGAGGAGAUGAAGAGGGAGACGAGCAGAGAUCGGCAGGCAAUGAGAUCGCGUUAAAAAAUUGAAAUAUGACGAACGUUUGUUUUGUUGACGACACGCGAUCAGCAACAGCCGCCAAUAAUCGCUGCGGAAUUUGUCUGACAAGCGAUUUUUCCUGAGGAUAACGGAGGAGAAAAAGAAAAGGGUAAAUUGACAGGCUAAAAAUUGUCUUAA